AGUGAACGCUGGCGGUAGGCCUAACACAUGCAAGUCGAACGGCAGCACAGUAAUAGCUUGCUCUUACGGGUGGCGAGUGGCGGACGGGUGAGGAAUACAUCGGAAUCUACUUUUUCUUGGGUGAUAACGUAGGCAAACUUACGCUAAUACCGCAUACGACCUACGUGUGAAAGCAGCGGAUCUUCGGACCUUGCGCGAUUGAAUGAGCCGAUGUCGGAUUAGCUAGUUGGCGGGGUAAAGGCCCACCAAGGCGACGAUCCGUAGCUGGUCUGAGAGGAUGAUCAGCCACACUGGAACUGAGACACGGUCCAGACUCCUACGGGAGGCAGCAGUGGGGAAUAUUGGACAAUGGGCGAAAGCCUGAUCCAGCCAUACCGCGUGGGUGAAGAAGGCCUUCGGGUUGUAAAGCACUUUUGUUGGGAAAGAAAAGCAGCAGGUUAAUACCCCGCUGUUCUGACGGUACCAAAAGAAUAAGCACCGGCUAACUUCGUG
Molecule: ribosomal RNA, 492 nt
Filed under: uncultured bacterium
Lineage: Bacteria
Description: partial 16S ribosomal RNA
Rfam family: Bacterial small subunit ribosomal RNA
Source: RNAcentral